This 425-nucleotide ribosomal RNA is filed under the name uncultured bacterium. Its description in RNAcentral is "bacterial SSU rRNA". It matches the Rfam family "Bacterial small subunit ribosomal RNA", at positions 28 to 449 of the family's 1533-position model. The record is from RNAcentral.
GACGAACGCUGGCGGCGUGCUUAAUACAUGCAAGUCAACUUGACUUUAGAUAGCAAUAUCGAAAAGUAGGGUGGCGCACGGGUGCGUAACGCGUAGGUAUCUGCCCUGAGGUCUGACAUAACCCGUCGAAAGGCGGGCUAACAUCAGAUGAUAUAUAAUCACGACAUCGUGGAAAAUAUCAAAUCUUCGGAGCCUUGGGAUGAGCCUGCGUCUGAUUAGGUAGUUGGCGGAGUAAUAGCCCACCAAGCCUACGAUCAGUAGCUGGUCUGAGAGGAUGAUCAGCCACACUGGAACUGAGACACGGUCCAGACUCCUACGGGAGGCAGCAGUAAGGAAUAUUGCUCAAUGGGGGAAACCCUGAAGCAGCAACGCCGCGUGAAGGAUGAAAUACUUUUGUAUGUAAACUUACUGUAAGAUGGGAAAAA